GCGGCGGCGUCUGGGAAGGCAGGGCGCGCCUCCUAGGGUUGGCCAGGGAGCAGGGGGGCGCUGGCUGGGCCUGGCAGGCCUCCAGCGGGGCCAAGGGGAAGGGGAGGGCGCCUGUUGGGCCAAGGGAAGGAGGCAGGGGAGCUGGGCCUGGGAGGGAAAACAGGGGGAGCGAGCGGGCCGAGGUGCUGCGUCGCUGGGCCGGGGCGAGGCAGAGGAGGGGAGCUGGGCCGCUGGGGAGAUCUGGGCCACGCGCGCGGGUUGGGCCAGCAGGAAGAGAAAGAAUGGAGAGAAGAAGGGGAUUCGGCCCAUGAGAUUAAAAUAGGGUUUACCAUUUUUGAUUAACCACAACGGAAUGAAAACAAAAGAAUUGGAGAAAGAUUCAGAAAGAAAUCGGAUAAAAUCCAAUGGAAUUUUGAGACGAGAUCAAAGAGGAAGGGGGGUUUGAGAAGGGAACUUCGAGGAGAGUUCGGAAAGAUUUCAAAGAAGUUGAGGAGGGAUUUACUUUGCCUGGGAGAUAGGCUCAGCGAAGAUUCGAGAAAACUCUGCUACGGACUUGUGCACUCCAAGAGAAACUCAAAACCCUAAACAAGACUAAACUCCAAACUGACUCACGAACAAGAGCACUCGCCUACAAACAAUUCUAUAUGUAUGCAACAUUUUGUUAGCGGGUUAGAGUCGAGUUAGACCUAAAAACUAUAUGCUUAACACGUUUACAAGAAAAUUUUAAAAAGCUCAUAUUUUUGGAAAAAUCCGGGAUGUUACAUAUUGCACGAAUAUUGCACGAAGGCCGGUAUAGAUAGACAUGCAUGAAGGCCGGCCGUCGCUCGCCGUACGUUCGUGUUGGGGUCGGAGUGUCAAACCACGAGGAUACGUAUUGCACGGGAUUCUUCGUCCGAACGUUCGGACGGAACGUUCCGCCGAUGUUUCCCGCCCGGUAGCUUUCCCGCGUGCGCCGUCGAUGUUUCACGCGUGAGCUGCGGUUUGGAGUUGCUGUUUCCGCUGCGGACGGAAGCCGCCGCGGCUUGCCGUAUGACAGUUUCGAUUCCCCAGCGUAUAGGUAAGUAUACGUAUGCUUUUUUUCUUUUCUUUUUUCUUUUUUUUUCUCUUAUUUUCUUUUCAAGUUUUUUUUUUCUGUUCAUGCUUUAUUUUUUAUUUAUAUUUCUUUUUCGUUUUAUAUGAUUUUAAUUUUCAUCUCAUCUUUUACUUUUUAUGUUUCUUUUUCUGGUUUUUCUUUUCUUUCCUUAUUAUUUUUAUUUACUUCUUUAAAUUUAUUUCUUUCUAGUUCACGUGACUUUUAUUAUUCUAUUUUUUUUAUAGUGUUGCUGCUUUUUUUUGUUUAAUGUUAUUUUAUUUUGUAUUGUAUUAUUUUUCUCUUUUUUCUUUCUCUUUUUCUUCUCGUGCUUCAUUUUUUAUUUUAUUGGUUUUUUGCUUAUGUGAUUUUUAUUAUUCUUUUAUUUUUUAUGUUUAUAUGUUUAUUUUUUACUUUCCUUUCUUUUCUUAUUAUUUUUAAUUUCUUUUCUCUGAGUU
RNAcentral lists this long non-coding RNA (1527 nucleotides) under Sorghum bicolor (sorghum). RNAcentral describes it as "long non-coding RNA (SBIC_LNC006234)". The record is from RNAcentral. Lineage: Eukaryota; Viridiplantae; Streptophyta; Magnoliopsida; Poales; Poaceae.